GAUACCCUGUUAUUUAAAGAUUAAUAAAAAAUAAUAGAGUAGUAAUAGUUAUAUUCUAAAAACUUAAUAAAUUUGGCGGUAUUUUAAUCUAAUCAGAGGAACUUGUUUUAUAAUUGAUAAUCCCCAAUUUAUCUUACUUAAUUUUGUUUAAUUUGUAUAUCGUCGUCAUAAGAAUAUCUUAAAAAAGGAAUAAUUUUCUAAAAUUUUUAUUAAAAAUUAUGUCAGAUCAAGGUGCAGUUUAUAGUUAAGAAAAAAUGAGUUACAAUAAAUUUAUUUAUAUGGAUAUAAAGGUUAAAUUUUUAUUAAAAGUGGAUUUGAUAGUAAAAUAAUUUAUAUAAAUUAUUUGAAUUUAGUUCUAAAAUAUGUACAAAUCGCCCG
This 378-nucleotide ribosomal RNA is filed under the name Polylepta zonata. RNAcentral describes it as "partial 12S ribosomal RNA". Lineage: Eukaryota; Metazoa; Arthropoda; Insecta; Diptera; Mycetophilidae. The record is from RNAcentral.